UCGCUGCCCGGGACUGAGCCAUUUCGAGAAACUUGGGGACUGUCGAUUGUCGGUGCGUUCGCAUCGCCUUUCGUUAGAAACCAAUUUAAUCGCAGUGGCUUGAACCGGGCAAAAGUCGUAACAAGGUAGCUGUAGGUGAACCUGCUGCUGGAUCAUUAC
Molecule: ribosomal RNA, 159 nt
Filed under: Meloidogyne artiellia
Lineage: Eukaryota; Metazoa; Nematoda; Chromadorea; Rhabditida; Meloidogynidae
Description: partial 18S ribosomal RNA
Rfam family: Eukaryotic small subunit ribosomal RNA
Source: RNAcentral